Small nuclear RNA from Trichechus manatus latirostris (Florida manatee), 107 nucleotides. Lineage: Eukaryota; Metazoa; Chordata; Mammalia; Sirenia; Trichechidae. The record is from RefSeq and is a predicted model, not a curated record.
GUGCUCACUUUGGCAGCACAUUUACUAAAACUGGAAUGAUAAGAAAAGAUUAGCAUGGCCCUUGCGCAAGGAUGAUACACAGUUCAUGAAGAAAGCAGCAGAAGAAG